UGGCGCGAAACAUGGGCUUUCAAUUUUGGCUCUCAAAAUGAGAUUUUGAGUUUUAAGACUAGAGAUUGCGUCAUGUUAUAAAUGAAAAAAAAAAAAAAAAUUAAACCGAGGUUUUAUUUUUAUUUAUUUUGUAUAACAUGACUGUAAAAUUAAACCGAGGUUUUAUUUUUAUUUAUGAAAAAAAAAAAAAAAAUUAAACCGAGGUUUUAUUUUUAUUUAUUUUGUAUAACAUGACUGUAAAAUACAAAGUCGAGAUUCGGAACUUGGCUCGAAGCAUCAUACUUCAAAACCAACCAAAAAAUCUUGAUGUCGCGUAUAAAAAAAAUAAGCAUGAAAAGUUUGUCGAGAUGCAAAGGUCUCUUUGUUGCAUUAACUAAAAC
This 380-nucleotide long non-coding RNA is filed under the name Citrus sinensis (sweet orange). RNAcentral's name for it is "long non-coding RNA (CSIN_LNC000197)". The record is from RNAcentral. Lineage: Eukaryota; Viridiplantae; Streptophyta; Magnoliopsida; Sapindales; Rutaceae.